UUCUCUUUCCAUUUUGUCUCUUAACAAAAAUAUAUUCUCUUUCACUGGCUUGUACCCUUCAGAUUCUAUCCUUUGUUGUACAUUCCCCGUAUGAACCACAAUCUGUGACUCAUUUUUCACUGUUUUAUUACCAAACUUUUGCAACUUUUUAUAUUCCUCAUAAGUAGGCAUGGACUCUGUUUUCUUCAACUCAUUAGGUUUUUUUGAACCUUUAGAUGAAAUAUUGGAUUCAAGUUCUUCAAGGGUAUGAAAGGAAAAGCUUUUUCUUGGAAGUCUCCUUUUCGGGGAAGCGCCGCCAUCUUUGGCGGCUGGCGGCGGCGGCGCGGGGAGUGCGAGGAGAGUUUUUUUAGGUGAUUUUAGUGGUGGAGGAUUUUGUAGGGUUGGUUUAAUAUCUUCUAAAGCUUUGCUAACUUCAUCCCAAGAACGAGGAUCCUCAUCAGUAUUUGCACUGAAUUUUGCAAGAAUUGGUUGUGGUACUAUUGCAAGUU
This 488-nucleotide long non-coding RNA is filed under the name Nicotiana benthamiana. RNAcentral describes it as "long non-coding RNA (NBEN_LNC002300)". Lineage: Eukaryota; Viridiplantae; Streptophyta; Magnoliopsida; Solanales; Solanaceae. The record is from RNAcentral.